RNAcentral lists this ribosomal RNA (773 nucleotides) under uncultured Neocallimastigales. Its description in RNAcentral is "partial large subunit ribosomal RNA". It matches the Rfam family "Eukaryotic large subunit ribosomal RNA", at positions 22 to 621 of the family's 3401-position model. Lineage: Eukaryota; Fungi; Neocallimastigomycota; Neocallimastigomycetes; Neocallimastigales. The record is from RNAcentral.
AUAUCAGUCAUGCAUAGCAUAUCAAUAAGCGGAGGAAAAGAAACUAACAAGGAUUCCCUUAGUAACGGCGAGUGAAGCGGGAAGAGCUCAAAUUUGAAAUCUUCAAGGUUUUACCUUGACGAAUUGUAGUUUAAAGAAGUGUUUUCUGUUGAAGUUUUGGUAAAAGUUCUUUGGAAUAGGACAUCAUAGAGGGUGAGAAUCCCGUAUUUGACCAUUACUUUCAGCUUUGUGAUACACUUUCAAAGAGUCGGAUUGUUUGGGAAUGCAGUCCAAAAUGGGUGGUAAAUUUCAUCUAAAGCUAAAUAUUGGCGAGAGACCGAUAGCGAACAAGUACCGUGAGGAAAGAUGAAAAGAACUUUGAAAAGAGAGUUAAACAGUACGUGAAAUUGUCAAAAGGGAAGCGUUUGACACCAGUGUUGUUUUCUCGAAAAUCAAUUAAAAAGAGUUGGAUUUUGUGUUGUAUUGACUUUAUCAGCUUUCUUCACUCUUUUCCAGCUUUUUUUAAUGCACUUUUCGUUUAACAAGUCAACAUCAGUUUCUUUUGUUGUAAAAAGGUCAUUGGAAGGUGGCUUUCUCUUCGGAGAAAGUGUUUAUAGCCUUUGACUCAUGCAAUCGGAGAGACUGAGGUCUGCAGCGUAGAUCCUUCGGGGUUAGAUACAUUUGUGCUAAGUUAUAGCUUUUCAUAGACAACUUGUUGACUAUGUUUAGUCUUGUAGCUUACUCGCUUAUGCUAUUUUACCUACGCUUAGGAUGUUGAACUCUAUCACACACAG